GGUUAAGCGACUAAGCGUACACGGUGGAUGCCCUGGCAGUCAGAGGCGAUGAAGGACGUGCUAAUCUGCGAUAAGCGUCGGUAAGGUGAUAUGAACCGUUAUAACCGGCGAUUUCCGAAUGGGGAAACCCAGUGUGAUUCGUCACACUAUCAUUAACUGAAUCCAUAGGUUAAUGAGGCGAACCGGGGGAACUGAAACAUCUAAGUACCCCGAGGAAAAGAAAUCAACCGAGAUUCCCCCAGUAGCGGCGAGCGAACGGGGAGCAGCCCAGAGCCUGAAUCAGUGUGUGUGUUAGUGGAAGCGUCUGGAAAGGCGCGCGAUACAGGGUGACAGCCCCGUACACAAAAAUGCACAUGCUGUGAGCUCGAUGAGUAGGGCGGGACACGUGGUAUCCUGUCUGAAUAUGGGGGGACCAUCCUCCAAGGCUAAAUACUCCUGACUGACCGAUAGUGAACCAGUACCGUGAGGGAAAGGCGAAAAGAACCCCGGCGAGGGGAGUGAAAAAGAACCUGAAACCGUGUACGUACAAGCAGUGGGAGCACGCUUAGGCGUGUGACUGCGUACCUUUUGUAUAAUGGGUCAGCGACUUAUAUUCUGUAGCAAGGUUAACCGAAUAGGGGAGCCGAAGGGAAACCGAGUCUUAACUGGGCGUUAAGUUGCAGGGUAUAGACCCGAAACCCGGUGAUCUAGCCAUGGGCAGGUUGAAGGUUGGGUAACACUAACUGGAGGACCGAACCGACUAAUGUUGAAAAAUUAGCGGAUGACUUGUGGCUGGGGGUGAAAGGCCAAUCAAACCGGGAGAUAGCUGGUUCUCCCCGAAAGCUAUUUAGGUAGCGCCUCGUGAAUUCAUCUCCGGGGGUAGAGCACUGUUUCGGCAAGGGGUCAUCCCGACUUACCAACCCGAUGCAAACUGCGAAUACCGGAGAAUGUUAUCACGGGAGACACACGGCGGGUGCUAACGUCCGUCGUGAAGAGGGAAACAACCCAGACCGCCAGCUAAGGUCCCAAAGUCAUGGUUAAGUGGGAAACGAUGUGGGAAGGCCCAGACAGCCAGGAUGUUGGCUUAGAAGCAGCCAUCAUUUAAAGAAAGCGUAAUAGCUCACUGGUCGAGUCGGCCUGCGCGGAAGAUGUAACGGGGCUAAACCAUGCACCGAAGCUGCGGCAGCGACGCUUAUGCGUUGUUGGGUAGGGGAGCGUUCUGUAAGCCUGUGAAGGUGUGCUGUGAGGCAUGCUGGAGGUAUCAGAAGUGCGAAUGCUGACAUAAGUAACGAUAAAGCGGGUGAAAAGCCCGCUCGCCGGAAGACCAAGGGUUCCUGUCCAACGUUAAUCGGGGCAGGGUGAGUCGACCCCUAAGGCGAGGCCGAAAGGCGUAGUCGAUGGGAAACAGGUUAAUAUUCCUGUACUUGGUGUUACUGCGAAGGGGGGACGGAGAAGGCUAUGUUGGCCGGGCGACGGUUGUCCCGGUUUAAGCGUGUAGGCUGGUUUUCCAGGCAAAUCCGGAAAAUCAAGGCUGAGGCGUGAUGACGAGGCACUACGGUGCUGAAGCAACAAAUGCCCUGCUUCCAGGAAAAGCCUCUAAGCAUCAGGUAACAUCAAAUCGUACCCCAAACCGACACAGGUGGUCAGGUAGAGAAUACCAAGGCGCUUGAGAGAACUCGGGUGAAGGAACUAGGCAAAAUGGUGCCGUAACUUCGGGAGAAGGCACGCUGAUAUGUAGGUGAAGUCCCUCGCGGAUGGAGCUGAAAUCAGUCGAAGAUACCAGCUGGCUGCAACUGUUUAUUAAAAACACAGCACUGUGCAAACACGAAAGUGGACGUAUACGGUGUGACGCCUGCCCGGUGCCGGAAGGUUAAUUGAUGGGGUCAGCGCAAGCGAAGCUCUUGAUCGAAGCCCCGGUAAACGGCGGCCGUAACUAUAACGGUCCUAAGGUAGCGAAAUUCCUUGUCGGGUAAGUUCCGACCUGCACGAAUGGCGUAAUGAUGGCCAGGCUGUCUCCACCCGAGACUCAGUGAAAUUGAACUCGCUGUGAAGAUGCAGUGUACCCGCGGCAAGACGGAAAGACCCCGUGAACCUUUACUAUAGCUUGACACUGAACAUUGAGCCUUGAUGUGUAGGAUAGGUGGGAGGCUUAGAAGUGUGGACGCCAGUCUGCAUGGAGCCGACCUUGAAAUACCACCCUUUAAUGUUUGAUGUUCUAACGUUGACCCGUAAUCCGGGUUGCGGACAGUGUCUGGUGGGUAGUUUGACUGGGGCGGUCUCCUCCUAAAGAGUAACGGAGGAGCACGAAGGUUGGCUAAUCCUGGUCGGACAUCAGGAGGUUAGUGCAAUGGCAUAAGCCAGCUUGACUGCGAGCGUGACGGCGCGAGCAGGUGCGAAAGCAGGUCAUAGUGAUCCGGUGGUUCUGAAUGGAAGGGCCAUCGCUCAACGGAUAAAAGGUACUCCGGGGAUAACAGGCUGAUACCGCCCAAGAGUUCAUAUCGACGGCGGUGUUUGGCACCUCGAUGUCGGCUCAUCACAUCCUGGGGCUGAAGUAGGUCCCAAGGGUAUGGCUGUUCGCCAUUUAAAGUGGUACGCGAGCUGGGUUUAGAACGUCGUGAGACAGUUCGGUCCCUAUCUGCCGUGGGCGCUGGAGAACUGAGGGGGGCUGCUCCUAGUACGAGAGGACCGGAGUGGACGCAUCACUGGUGUUCGGGUUGUCAUGCCAAUGGCACUGCCCGGUAGCUAAAUGCGGAAGAGAUAAGUGCUGAAAGCAUCUAAGCACGAAACUUGCCCCGAGAUGAGUUCUCCCUGACUCCUUGAGAGUCCUGAAGGAACGUUGAAGACGACGACGUUGAUAGGCCGGGUGUGUAAGCGCAGCGAUGCGUUGAGCUAACCGGUACUAAUGAACCGUGAGGCUUAACCUU
This 2903-nucleotide ribosomal RNA is filed under the name Escherichia coli. RNAcentral's name for it is "23S ribosomal RNA". It matches the Rfam family "Bacterial large subunit ribosomal RNA". The record is from RNAcentral. Lineage: Bacteria; Pseudomonadati; Pseudomonadota; Gammaproteobacteria; Enterobacterales; Enterobacteriaceae.